UAGUUGUGUAUGAGUUAAUAAAAAGAAGG
This 29-nucleotide non-coding RNA is filed under the name Mus musculus (house mouse). Lineage: Eukaryota; Metazoa; Chordata; Mammalia; Rodentia; Muridae. The record is from RNAcentral.